RNAcentral lists this ribosomal RNA (247 nucleotides) under uncultured Actinomycetes bacterium. Its description in RNAcentral is "uncultured actinobacterium partial 16S ribosomal RNA". It matches the Rfam family "Bacterial small subunit ribosomal RNA", at positions 28 to 276 of the family's 1533-position model. Lineage: Bacteria; Bacillati; Actinomycetota; Actinomycetes. The record is from RNAcentral.
GACGAACGCUGGCGGCGUGCUUAACACAUGCAAGUCGAGCGGUAAGGCCCUUUCGGGGGUACACGAGCGGCGAACGGGUGAGUAACACGUGGGUGACCUGCCCUUAGCUCUGGGAUAAGCCUGGGAAACUGGGUCUAAUACCGGAUAUGACUCCAUGACGCAUGUUGUGGGGUGGAAAGCCUUGUGCGGCUGGGGAUGGGCCCGCGGCCUAUCAGCUUGUUGGUGGGGUGAUGGCCUACCAAGGCGA